Doryrhamphus excisus (bluestripe pipefish) is the source of this 4243-nucleotide RNA transcript. It is a transcript of the gene named transmembrane protein 65-like, with no coding region annotated. Lineage: Eukaryota; Metazoa; Chordata; Actinopteri; Syngnathiformes; Syngnathidae. The record is from RefSeq and is a predicted model, not a curated record.
UCCAGUGGCUCGAGCCAGGUCUCAUCCGCCUCGCACGAUCCCGUCAAACGAAGGUUACGCUAGCUGGCGCUCCUUUUGCCAAUAUGUCAUUUCCCCAAAUUAUGACCACGAAGAGCGUCUUUUUAACGGCUUUUCUCUCGUUAGUCUGUAGCCUUUGAGCGGGGAAGAAAAGAAGAGACGUGCCGUUUUUAGAGCCUUUAUCCCGGAGCUUGUUGGACGGGACAGCCGAGCACCGACUGAUCUUUCUGACCCUCGUCGCCCCCCUCCCGCCCCAUCUGGAGAUGCUACCCAGCCUGCGGGGACUCCUGCGGCCCGUCCUCUACAUGAGAGCCGGCAGCGGGCCCCUACGAGCCGGGCUGUUCGGCCAGCAAGCUUCAUCCUUGUCCGGCCCGGGUCUGUCGGCCGCGAGGCGCCACCUGGGCACCCACCCGCUGAAGGAACCGGUGGAGCCCCUCAACUCGCCCCGUGGAGCCAAGGAGUUUAUUUAUAGCCUCCACCCGUCUGAACGCACAUGCCUGCUGCGGGAGCUGCACAGGUUUGAGUCCAUCGCCAUCGCCCAAGGGCAGCUUGAGAUUGCACCACCUACUGCAGCACAGUUGAGAUAUGUUCUACUGCACAAUGCACUCCCCUUCGUUGGAUUUGGCUUUCUGGACAACUGCAUCAUGAUUGUUGCCGGCACGCAGAUUGAGUUGUCCAUCGGUGUGAUCCUCGGCAUCUCUACUAUGGCAGCUGCUGCUCUCGGCAACCUGGUGUCGGAUCUGGCAGGACUCGGCAGCCGAUCCUCAUUGGACCAGCUGAGGGUUAAAAUGGUGGACAGUGGAGACCGCCGCCUCAAAGGAAGGUCACGUGCGUACACGGCACAACUGGAGUCCAAGCAGGAUUCCAGCCACGUUUGUAUUUUUGUAACAACUAAGUUUGCUCCAUCAAUGAAAUAACAUUUUGGCAUAUUGUAUAUUAUGUCAAAUAAGCCAAAUAAUCCGCCAACAACAAGAAUACUUUCCAGUGUGUAAUCUUCUACUUUGAAACUUGCAUCUUACACAGCAGUGCGGCUCAUUUGGGGCCAUGUUCUAUUCUCAUGACAUCUCCGUUACCUGUUGAAAUACGUAGCGCUAGCGAGUCAGGGAGGGAACGGCAGCCCUAAUCACAAGAUAAUCCCGAAGUCACACGAGGACUGUUAUGCAAUAUAAGUGUAUAUGUGUACAUAUAUGUGAUGUACAUUCAUGUAACAUAAGGUAACAUUUCAUGCCUGAAAUAAAUUAAGAGAAAGAAAGAUAAGAGUCUGUUACCUUAGAAGCAACACUAAAAUCAUCACAUGGCAGCUUAACACUCAAAAGGUAGCGAAGAAAUAUGCAAUCCAAGUACCAAUACAAGUUUGAAAUAAACAACUAUUUUAACCCCCCCCCCCCCCCCAUUCCAAAAACAUGCUAGCUUGAUUGGCCACUCCAAAUUGUCCAUAGGUAUGAAUGUGAGUGUGAAUGGUUGUUUGUCUAUAUGUGCCCUGGGAUUGGCUGGCCACCAGUCCAGCUGGGAUAGGCUCCAGCACCCCCAAUAGAAAAUGAAUGAUUAGUUCCAGUGUUCCCAAUUCCACAUCCAGCAGCCUGCUGUGACGGGGUCAUCGUCCGUAUGGCCAGACGUUGUUUUCGAGUCUGAUGGUGUAGAUGUCACGCCCUGUGUGGGUUUGCACGUGACAGUUUAUGUUUGAGUUUCCGGCCUAGGUUUUGGUGUCCGUUUUGAACUCUUAUUUUGUAUUUAACUUCCUGUUUUGCCCUGUCGUCCUUGGUUGCCUUAAUCACUCACACCUGUCCCUAAUUUGUGUUUGUAUUUAGUUCAGGUGUGUGCAUCUCCCCUUUGUGGGAUUAUUGUAUUGUUUGUCCGUCAGCUACCUGAGUUGCUAUUAAUGCACACAAUAAAUAUUAUUUACCUGCACUUGGUCCUGCUCUCUGCAUCCUGGGGUCGAACUUUAAAGCAAUGAAGCCGAAUCGUGACAGUAGAAGCACAAUGAGUGGUCAAUGAGGGUGUGUGUUGUGGUGCAUGAUACACCUACACCGUUUGUGUGCUUGUAUCUUCAUCCAACUUUGGAGCCCCUCGGGGUGAUUUGUGGAGGUGAACCCAGGUCAGACAUGAGGACCCGUGUGGUCAAACAAUUGAAUGUUUUAUGUGGGAGAACAGAAAAUGGUGCAUUUCAGUGAAAUUCAUUUUCUUUGGAGCUCAGGCCCAUAAAGUCUAAUUACCAGGGUCCCAUGUUGUUCACGUUGAUGAAUGAUGCAGCCCCCCCCCCCCCAGUCGAGUGUCGGAUAUGUGACAAAUAGCCCAACCUUUCCUAGCACCCUACAUUUGCAUAAAUGACUGGCUGGCCUUUUACUCCAGGGUGGCAGACUUAGCUGUGACGCCCCCCUUGGGAGACCAUCAGGACCUCGACUUCUUGCAGUAAACAUGAAUGAGCUCUGUCAAUUGAUUUUGGCGCCGCCAUUCAACGGCCAUCAUAAAAACCAUGGCCGUGCGGCGGCGACAUGACUUGACUGUAGGGUUCCCGACACCCGCAUUGAGCCGAGCAGGAAGGCACUAUGACUUCAUGUCGUAUUGGCGCGACAGUCAACACUAGUCUGUAAAACCUCCAAGGCUUCAGUUUGCCAGCCAGACACGGGCGACGCCAAUCCAUGCCCGGGUCUUUCAUCAAACCUACUGGCGUUCCACUUCUCAUCUUUCUUUACACGCUUCGCCUAGCUUUCAACAACUGCCGCCAACUAGCUAGCUGGCGAGGAUUCUCGUCUUCGGUCACAGUGACAUUUUGUUUUUGAAAACAAACAGGAAAUUAGGGUAGUUUGGGACUCCUUUUUGUCCCACAGGGAAGUGGACAUGACGUCCAUCGGGUACGUACGGACUGUCAUGAAACUAAAUAUGGCUUGUCCUCCAAUGGACAUUGUCUAUGAUAGCACUCCUCAUAAACAUUAAACAUGUACAGCUAACCCAUGUGAUGGGAAUUGGGGCGUCCCUAUUUAACACUCUGGUCCUUGUUUGGAGUCAGUGUCACCAAAGCCAAAGAAAAAGCCAUCAUUAAGCCUUUAAUACGAGCUCAACUGACGUGUUGUGAGGUGCACUGUAGAGGUUGGCACACUGGAUAGGAAGUAGAUGGAUGGAUGGAUGGAUGGAUGGAUGGAUGGAUGGAUUAGAUCAGAUUAGCUGAGAUUUUCACUCGAUGUUCUGACACAUUGACUGACUUGACUCAUCCCAGCCGUCCAAGCUAAUGCGUGUCAUAUAGCAAGUCAGUCCCCAUCUCCAAAGGCAUCGUGUCCUUGGCCUUUUCAUCAAAAGGGCGACUAGAUGGAACCCGCGUGCUCCCUUCAAUUGAAUAGGAAUUCUACUAAAAGGAUUGCCUGUGUAGCCUCAAGUGGCUCCGGUGCUCCACUUCCUGCUGUGGCAAUAGCAUGCGUACACUGGUUGAGGUGUUGGCAUGCUAUUGGUGCGUAUGCGUGGCCUGGCCGCCUCGUCUCAGCUGCUGUUGUCUUUUCUCAGUGGUCCAAUUCAUCUCCCGCUUGCCAGCACAGCCUGAACACUGUAAAAAAUAAUAGCAUAAGAAAAUAGGACAACUGAACACCGCUGGCACACACAAGGGAUACUAUGAUGCUCCACGAGCUGACUGGCGCCACAUGGUGGAGACGCGUUACAUCACACUUAUCACUCUUAUUUCAUGGCAUCAAAGGUCAACAACGUAUCAGUGCAGGAAGGAGCAUCCGUUUCUGCUGAGAAGAAUAGCAGCUGAGUCCUACAUAAUUCAAUGUAGCAAUUCCAUCUUGUCAUUUGUGUGUCAGCGAUGCGGACUGUAAAAUAAGAUAAGAUAAGGUUUGCCUUUCUUAGUCCCACAAGGGGAAGUGGCAGGUUUAGAGCAGAUGAAGAAGUCCAAAAUCAAGGUAAUACAGGUAAUACAAGUUUUAUACAUGUUGACCAAGCCACGGCUUUUUUAUUGCACGCUUUAUUGCACGGUUAUUGUACAGGAUUUUUUGAGUCUGAAAGUGGCCAAUGGAAGACGGCAUAUGUUUUCCAACAUUCGAAUCCUAUUGACUUAUUUUCUUCCUGCGUGUCUCCAGGCUGGCAGGUUACGUGGAGGCUCUGGCAUCUCGACUGGGCAUGCAGAUCCCGGACUUGAGUCCAAAGCAGGCCGACAUGUGGCAGACCAGAGUCAGCUGUCACACGGGCAAAGCCAUCGGCGUGGGGAUCGGCUGCAUCCUGGGAAUGUUCCCCCUUC